GAUGAACGCUGACAGAAUGCUUAACACAUGCAAGUCAACUUGAACUUCGGUUUGGGUGGCGGACGGGUGAGUAACGCGUAAAGAACUUGCCUCACAGAUAGGGACAACAUUUGGAAACGAAUGCUAAUACCUGAUAUUAUGAUUAUAUGGCAUCGUAUAAUUAUGAAAGCUAUAUGCGCUGUGAGAGAGCUUUGCGUCCCAUUAGCUAGUUGGAGAGGUAACGGCUCACCAAGGCGAUGAUGGGUAGCCGGCCUGAGAGGGUGAUCGGCCACAAGGGGACUGAGACACGGCCCUUACUCCUACGGGAGGCAGCAGUGGGGAAUAUUGGACAAUGGACCAAGAGUCUGAUCCAGCAAUUCUGUGUGCACGAUGAAGUUUUUCGGAAUGUAAAGUGCUUUCAGUUGGGAAGAAAAAAUGACGGUACCAACAGAAGAAGUGACGGCUAAAUACGUG
RNAcentral lists this ribosomal RNA (453 nucleotides) under uncultured bacterium. RNAcentral's name for it is "partial 16S ribosomal RNA". It matches the Rfam family "Bacterial small subunit ribosomal RNA", at positions 28 to 507 of the family's 1533-position model. The record is from RNAcentral.